GCACACUGGGAUAGCUCAGUCAGUAGAGCAUGAGACUUCAUUGCAAGCUUGUGGGUUCGAGUCCCACGUUGGGCA
Podarcis lilfordi (Lilford's wall lizard) is the source of this 75-nucleotide non-coding RNA. The record is from the annotation of a GenBank genome assembly. NCBI's taxonomy places the organism in Eukaryota, Metazoa, Chordata, Lepidosauria, Squamata, Lacertidae.